This 319-nucleotide ribosomal RNA is filed under the name uncultured Acidobacteriaceae bacterium. RNAcentral describes it as "bacterial SSU rRNA". It matches the Rfam family "Bacterial small subunit ribosomal RNA", at positions 157 to 491 of the family's 1533-position model. Lineage: Bacteria; Pseudomonadati; Acidobacteriota; Terriglobia; Terriglobales; Acidobacteriaceae. The record is from RNAcentral.
GGAGGGCUAAUACCGCAUAACACCUCGGAACACAAGUUCUGGGGUUGAAAAGAGCAAUUUGCUCGAAGAGGGGUCCGCGCCUGAUUAGCUAGUUGGUGAGGUAACGGCUCACCAAGGCUUCGAUCAGUAGCCGUCCUGAGAGGGAGCACGGCCACACUGGAACUGAGACACGGUCCAGACUCCUACGGGAGGCAGCAGUGGGGAAUUUUUGGCAAUGGGCGAAAGCCUGACCAAGCAACGCCGCGUGGGUGAUGAAGUAUCUUGGUACGUAAAACCCUUUCGGCAGGGACGAACCUAAUGACGGUACCUGCGAAGAGAC